Non-coding RNA from Pelobates cultripes (western spadefoot toad), 294 nucleotides. The record is from the annotation of a GenBank genome assembly. NCBI's taxonomy places the organism in Eukaryota, Metazoa, Chordata, Amphibia, Anura, Pelobatidae.
AUUUCUUUAAAUAAAUCUAAAUCUAAAAAACAAAUCCAAUGAAAAAACCCAAACAAGUUAAAGGUGAUUUGCAAUAUUUUACCAAUGGUUUAAACUCUAAGAAGUGGUAGUUUCCGUUGCAGGGGGUAGUAUAAUAAUUUUUUAAACCAAAUUCUCAAUCUCCUCUCUGUCUUAUGUUCUUCCUUGUUUUUGCAAGUCCAUCUAUCCAACCACAUUUAUAUUUGUUGAGUCAGAUGUCCUCUACAUAUCUCUUGAUUGAGUUGGUCUUUUCCUUGCACAUUUCUUAGCCUGAGC